UUCUUUCUUUCUUUCUUUCUUUCUUUCUUUCUUUCUUUCUUUCUUUCUUUCUUUCUUUCUUUCUUUCUUUCUUUCUUUCUUUCUUUCUUUCUGUGUUGCUCCAUAUUGUUCCUUUUCCACACAAUAUCAGCCCAAAGAGUACUCUUUUAGAACAUAUGAUCAUGCGAUUGAAGGUACCUCAACACCUGAGUGUGCUUCCUAGAUGGGAAUCAGCUGUGAUUUAUAUAUUUGCAUAACUUCAAUAAGCUGUUUCUCAUUAGCAAUGGAAUAAGAUAUUACAGUUAAAAACUGUAAUAUUAAAUCAAUUUGCCAGAGCAGCCCGUACCCUAUGAGUAGAACUGGAGAAGGGAAUAAACGUGCAAAAUGUGAUCCUCAAAGCCAGGACACAUCCACUGCCAUAAUAUUAAAAGAGAUUAACACAAGACUGAACUGUCAAUUUAACAGUCAGCUUGGUCCAACUUUGGAUGUUAAAUUGACGGUUCUAGGUAUAGGGUAAGCUAUCAGAAAUGCAUUAUCAUUUUGUCUGCAGUCAUGUUACACUCAACUAAUCAUGUUACAGUCAUUUUUAAGGUAACAACCAACUCAAUUAUAUAACUCUGGUACACAGCCAAGAAAAGCCUCUUGGUGAAAUGGCUUCAAUAGCUCAGUAGGUAGAGCUUGGGACAUAACGCCAGGGUAGUUAGGUUCGAUCGCACCCAUACGACCACACACAGGAUAAUGCACACAUGACAGGAAGUUGCUUAGGAUAAAGGCAUCUGCUAAAUGGAAUAUAUUAUUAAUGUAUAUUGUGCUGCAGAUUUUAACAUUGCAUUGUUAGAACAAUGACUAAAACACUGCCUGCCAGUGGCUUCUAAACUGAACUGAUCAUCUGAAACAUUGUACAUUUUUUACAUUAUUUGUAUUGUACAGAUGUACUGUUUGCAUGUAAUUUAUUAACCAACCACAACAUUUUAGUUUUAACAUCUGUUUUAGAUUAUGUGGAGUUGAUAUGAUCACGUGAGGCUGAUAAUAUUAGGAUGCUUGAAAGGAAAAACAUCUUUCAGAAGCAAUAGGCAAAAUAUAUUCUGUAUAUGUAUCAGUAAGCUUUAAAAUAUGUUCAUAAUUUUUGAUUGAAAUUAUGAAUUUGUUUAAAUGCAAUUUUCUUCCCUGUAUGAUUUCUAAAUGCAGUAGUCUUAUCCUGGCAAAAACUGUAUGUAUAGUCUACAGUAUGCUAGUUUACUUCAUGUAAGAUCUAGUGCUUCUUACUGUAAUUCCUUUUGAGUCAGUGGUAGUAUCUGUUGGUGUUUUAACAAAAUUAUAUUGUUUCAAAAUUGUGAUUUGAUAGUGUAGAAUUCUUGACAAUAAGUUAGAAAAAGCUUGGAUGGUGCUCUGUCUUGACCCUGUCCCUUUUCUGUCUGUCAUGUUUGUAUGUUUCCUAUUAACAGAUGAAGAGAGCUAUUAGGAGGUCAGUCCUGUUUUCCAACUGCCUUCACUUGUCCUUCAAAAUAGAGCAAAAUUAAUUGUUAUUCUACAUUCCUAAAAAUUCAUUACAUGCAGGAGCUUAUCUUGCCGUCUUGUGCUUGUGCAGUAUCAGUAUGUGUAGUAAUAUAAAUUAAGGUAGUACUAUCCUUGAUUAUGAAUUAUGAGCUUUUUGCUUACAGUGACCUAAUGGUAAACCUUUUGUGUGCUGUCAAAGUUUGGAUAAGUGCAGUUUAUUCCACAGUUUUGUCUUAAAGGUGUGAAGUACUUUUGGCUUAUGAGUUGCGAUAUAGUGUGUGUAAUUUGGUGCUUGUUUAUAUAAUAUGUCCCGCAUAUCAAAGACCAAAACCCUAUAUUAUUUUUCUUCUUGGUGUGUCCUGUCCUAUUCAAUGUCUUAAAACUGGAAUGUAGUACAUUUAGUGCCUUUUGCAUUUCAUCUACUAACUUGAACACUUGCUCAACAUGAAAACAUUUGAUUUUUUUGUAUACAUAGAAAAAAACAAUCCUCUGUAUCUGAUGUUCUAAUUUUAUAUAAAAGCUAUUCCUGAUGAAAUUGUG
Long non-coding RNA from Esox lucius (northern pike), 2016 nucleotides. The record is from Ensembl. Lineage: Eukaryota; Metazoa; Chordata; Actinopteri; Esociformes; Esocidae.